RNAcentral lists this ribosomal RNA (425 nucleotides) under uncultured bacterium. RNAcentral describes it as "partial 16S ribosomal RNA". It matches the Rfam family "Bacterial small subunit ribosomal RNA", at positions 354 to 796 of the family's 1533-position model. The record is from RNAcentral.
GUGGGGAAUAUUGGGCAAUGGGCGAAAGCCUGACCCAGCAACGCCGCGUGAAGGAAGAAGGUUUUCGGAUCGUAAACUUCUAUCCUUGGUGAAGAUAAUGACGGUAGCCAAGAAGGAAGCCCCGGCUAACUACGUGCCAGCAGCCGCGGUAAUACGUAGGGGGCAAGCGUUGUCCGGAAUGAUUGGGCGUAAAGGGCGCGUAGGCGGCCUGGUAAGUCUGGAGUGAAAGUCCUGCUUUUAAGGUGGGAAUUGCUUUGGAUACUGUCGGGCUUGAGUGCAGGGGAGGUAAGCGGAAUUCACGGUGUAGCGGUGAAAUGCGUAGAGAUCGGGAGGAACACCAGUGGCGAAGGCGGCUUACUGGACUGUAACUGACGCUGAGGCGCGAAAGUGUGGGGAGCAAACAGGAUUAGAAACCCGGGUAGUCC